Molecule: ribosomal RNA, 501 nt
Filed under: uncultured bacterium
Lineage: Bacteria
Description: partial 16S ribosomal RNA
Rfam family: Bacterial small subunit ribosomal RNA
Source: RNAcentral
AUUGAACGCUGGCGGCAGGCUUAACACAUGCAAGUCGAGCGGGGGAAGGUAGCUUGCUACCGGACCUAGCGGCGGACGGGUGAGUAAUGCUUAGGAAUCUGCCUAUUAGUGGGGGACAACAUCUCGAAAGGGAUGCUAAUACCGCAUACGUCCUACGGGAGAAAGCAGGGGAUCUUCGGACCUUGCGCUAAUAGAUGAGCCUAAGUCGGAUUAGCUAGUUGGUGGGGUAAAGGCCUACCAAGGCGAAGAUCAGUAGCGGGUCUGAGAGGAUGGUCCGCCAAACUGGGACUGAGACACGGCCCAGAGUCCUACGGGAGGCAGCAGUGGGGAAUAUUGGACAAUGGGGGGAACCCUGAUCCAGCCAUGCCGCGUGUGAGAAGAAGGCCUUAUGGUUGUAAAGCACUUUAAGCGAGGAGGAGGCUACUUUAGUUAAUACCUAGAGAUAGUGGACGUUACUCGCAGAAUAAGCACCGGCUAACUCUGUGCCAGCCGCCGCCGUAA